UGGUAUGAUGACGGCUGACCAGGGCUCCCUGAUCUAUACAAGUCUCUGCUAUGAGGAAGAUGGCCAGUCCUGGUGUCUGAGUGAUU
Small nucleolar RNA from Cynocephalus volans (Philippine flying lemur), 86 nucleotides. RefSeq annotates it as small nucleolar RNA SNORD86. Lineage: Eukaryota; Metazoa; Chordata; Mammalia; Dermoptera; Cynocephalidae. The transcript has a single exon. The record is from RefSeq and is a predicted model, not a curated record.